This 71-nucleotide transfer RNA is filed under the name Loxodonta africana (African savanna elephant). It matches the Rfam family "tRNA". From Rfam's summary of the family: Transfer RNA (tRNA) molecules are approximately 80 nucleotides in length. Their secondary structure includes four short double-helical elements and three loops (D, anti-codon, and T loops). The record is from Rfam by way of RNAcentral. Lineage: Eukaryota; Metazoa; Chordata; Mammalia; Proboscidea; Elephantidae.
GCAGUGGUGGUUCAAUGGUAGAAUUCUUGCCUUCUAUACGAGAGUCUUGGGUUUGAUUCCCAAUCAAGGCA